GUGAAUCAUCAAAUCUUUGAACGCAAAUUGCACUCUCCUCGGAGAGGAUGCCUGUUUGAGGUUCAGCCUAAAAAAAAUCGACAUCGUUGCUGUUCCGCGGUGUCGUUCGUCGGAAAUGGGGUUAGCUUAAACCUUUUGGUUUAAGCGACUUAAAAUUUUCCUUUUGUUUCCUUGAACGUUCCUAUGAUUUAUUUCUUUAUACGUUUAAGGUAUAGUUUUUUAUUAGACGUGG
This 232-nucleotide unclassified non-coding RNA is filed under the name Glomeraceae sp. Its description in RNAcentral is "partial contains 5.8S ribosomal RNA and internal transcribed spacer 2". The record is from RNAcentral. Lineage: Eukaryota; Fungi; Glomeromycota; Glomeromycetes; Glomerales; Glomeraceae.